This 2113-nucleotide long non-coding RNA is filed under the name Monodelphis domestica (gray short-tailed opossum). RNAcentral describes it as "lncRNA (ENSMODG00000031968.2)". The record is from RNAcentral. Lineage: Eukaryota; Metazoa; Chordata; Mammalia; Didelphimorphia; Didelphidae.
CUCCCUGAACCUUUUCCAGGCUACACAUUCCCAGUUCCUUCAGCCAUUCCUUAUACAAAAAGGACUGAAUUUGGAUGUAUAGAAGGAGGAUAACUGAAAUUAUAGUCCAAUUUUUAAAAAGAACCAGAGAGACACACUGAAGUGAUACUGAAGAUCAAUAAGGACAGGCGGGGAUAAACAUGGAUGUAGAAAGCCACUCAAGGAUGCUUCAUGCAAGUAGAGCACUUUAUGCAACAACGUACAGACAUCCAGAAGUUCAAAUUAGAGGAACCUUUAUUGAUUGGCCAGGGUGCCCUCCUAAGUGAGAGUUGCCCCAAACAGUGGAUACCAGAAAUCCAUGGAAGAAAACCAAAGUCAUCCAGCAUUACCAAAGAAAGUCAGCCCAGAGAAAAGAGAAAGUAGAUGUUUGUCUAGCACCAACCACAGCACAACACAGAGGCCAGACACCAGAAAAAACAGCAUAUGAACAAACAAGGCAAAGCCAUUGACUUGGGGACAGGUCUAAUGAACUAUCCACAUAGAUGAACUUUUACUGAGAGGCAAUUUACCUACAGAAGAAUAUUAUUAAUUUGCUUGCAGACAUUCUAUUCUAAAAGUAUGAAUAUUUGUUGCAAGAUUAAUUCUUAUCAUGUACCUGAAGACUUUAAAUGAUAUUUGUACAAUAUGUAACUUGCAAUUAUUUUAUUGGAAUUGUUCCAUGUUACCCAAAUUUGAUCAAAAAACAAAUUGAACAAUUGGAAAUGUUAUAAUAGUACAUUGGAUACUGUUCAAUCACAACAGAAAUUGUUUAUAUUAUCCAAAAUGUACGUAUGAUAAUUAUCUUACCUGAUUCAUUUUAUAUAUGCAAAAAAAGAAUGUCUUUAUUGGAAUCACAUUUGUUUAAAAGUCAAAUUAGCUGGAAAUUGCAUUUAAGUUUUAAAUGAAAAAAGGAAUGUAAUGGUACUCCUAAACAUCAAUCACUUCUCCAUCCCAGAAGGGCUAUAGGCUACUCCUAUGCAAUAACAUUUGGAGUAUAAUGAUAAGGAUUAAACUGCCUUGACAACAGCAACAACAUCAAUGACAAAUUGUGCUUAAAUCAGAUAGAAUAUACUUUGCGAUUUUUAAUUGAGAGCCUAAAUUACUUAAAGUGCCAUCUACAUCUAUGUAUAGAUUCUAUUCAUGAACAAUAUCUAUUUAGCUAUUAUGUACCAACCACCAUUGAUGUAGUUACAUGUUAAUCUUAUAGACAUGGGCAUCUACUCCAAAUGUCCAUUUUGUUCACAAAGCAUUUACUAUCAUUAUGCAUCCCUCCAAAUGCUUCAUAUUGACAAUCAUAGGAGCCAUAGUUUAAAUUAUUGCUAUAAUUACAGCAACAAUUGUGUUCACUAACUAUACAAAACCAAGGUUUUAUACAAAAGGUUGUAUCUAAUUCAUCUGAACUUUGACACACACAACAAAGUCUUGACCUUGCUUUUAAGGAUGAAUUAGAAAUUUUGAAAGAUGCUGUAUUUUGGCUAAGAAAAGAGGUUGAAGCUUUGCACAUUAGAAUUACUUACCCAUGUCAUUUCAACCAAACAGGAUAUUGUAUUAAACCUUUAAAAACAUAAUGAUGUUUAAUAUGAAUUUUACAUAUUACAUAAAUUUUUUAAUUUAAUUUUGCUAUUUGAUUUAGCAUUCAUUUUUACUUGUUAUUUUGCUAUAAUUAUUAUUUUUUUAGUUUAUAAUUUCUUUUUACCAUCAAACACUCUUGUUUUAAUUUUUAAACACAAAGAGGGAUAUGUAGCAUACCAGGCAUAUUAGCAUCUUGAAAGUAUGAUUGGUGUAUUGAUACUGUAUCUUAUGUGUUCUUAUACUAGAGUCAUGGUCAUGUUACUUAUUGAUUAUUUUAUUGCCAAAUCUUCAGUCCAAAGGUGAAAAAAGAAUUCCUGAGCAGGAGCCACAGGGUACUAGCUCACACCUUGUUAGAUAACACAUUCCUUUCCAAGUCACAUGUUUGAUUAACCUCCUCCUCUUUGAUUACAUGAUUGUCAAUUGAGCCAAUGUUAAAGUCUAUGCCAUGUCACAUGUUCAUUAGUUACCUACCACUACACAUUCAUAAACUCUCCAAUAAAAGUUUGAGGGCACGUGUGGAGCA